Non-coding RNA from Paramuricea clavata, 226 nucleotides. The record is from the annotation of a GenBank genome assembly. Lineage: Eukaryota; Metazoa; Cnidaria; Anthozoa; Malacalcyonacea; Plexauridae.
ACAACUGUGAACUGCAAUCGUGGUAUGAUCAAGUGUGCCUCAAGUAAUGUAUGCAUUCCUCAACAGUGGCAAUGCAAUGGUCGUCCAGAUUGCAAAGAUAACAGCGACGAACAAGCUUGCGAUUCAACCAAAUGUUCUAGCAGCGAGUUUGAGUGUGCUGAUGGGAAGUGUAUAGACCUAGCUUGGAGAUGCGAUCUCGAUCAUGAUUGUGACGACGCGAGUGAUG